RNAcentral lists this non-coding RNA (83 nucleotides) under bovine gut metagenome. The record is from RNAcentral.
AACAGGGGCGCCGAAAGGCUGAGAUGCGCGUCACGCGCUGUCCCUCGAACCUGAAACGGGUAAUACCGGCGUAGGAAGCGUAU